CAGGAAAUCCCAAAAGUGAAAAGAGCCAUUAGCGAGAGAACAUACCAGCGACUGGAAGUACGGAAGUAAUGUAAAGGGAAAUCCGACUGUUUCAAAGUGAAUUCCCAAAAGGAAGUGGAGUUCACAAUGGGUCUUCCAUUGGCAGAUGAAGACCAGGAGAGACAGGGCCAUAGUGAGGAAAAUGGUCAAGCACGUCCAUUGUCGGGGGUGGAGUUCAAUCAAAUUAUUUCUGACCGGCUACAGAGCACCCAUGUUGAUAACCGCCGAAACUCUCUACCUCCUGGUAUCCUGGAACACAUAAACGUCAAAAGUGUUUGCGGGCAAAUUCUCCGCUUUAUGGGUGAUGAACACUUUUCUAAGACUUGUGGGCGACACCUGCGGUGUAUGGGGGAUGAGAUUUCUCAUCUGUACUGGUUAAAGAAGACUGUGAUGGGGCCGCAACAAAAUCUGCCAAACCGGGAAUACACACUUUCACAUAACUCACAUUCUCUACCUGAUUUACGAAGCGCAGAAUCGGACCAACAAAGAGAUGCAGUGAAUAAUAAUUGAACUGAAACAUGUAUUACAUAUUGUGAUUCUGUAGCUAUAAAGCUUCAAAGAAUAUUUAUUGUAUCAAUUAAUUAUCAAGCCAAAAUUUACGGAUUAAUUUACUUAAAACCUAUAGAGAAAUGUAGCGAUAUAUGAUCCCUAAAAAUUGAGGAAAGUUAGAAAGUAAAUUCACAGGUGUUAAAGUAAUUAGUUUUAAUAGUUUUCAUUUGAAGUUCUUAGAACUUGUUAUACAUUAAUUAUACAUACUCUGAUCUAUAAUGCUUGAAUUUGGAUGGGAAAUAGUAUGUAUAGCAAUAUUUAUAUUUCCAUGGUUGUCAAAAAUAUAAAUUACUAUAACUUCACAUACAUAAGCAAAACAUGUAUUACUUCAGGAGAGACCAGGGACAUGUAUAUUAAGUACAAAUCCCUUGGUUAGAUAUAUCGGGUCAAAUGUUAUAUUAUCAAGUGUAAAACCAUUCCACCUUAGUGAUUUUUUGAUAAUUUUCCUUGUAAAUGGCAAUUAAUUACUAUGUUUGUUAUUAGGUUGUCUUGUUACUGUUUUUUCUAUCAUUUGUUAUGUUACCUUACUUCAUAAGAAGUCUAAAGAUUACAGCAUAUUUUAUUUAUAUAUUUGUAUUUCCUUUUGCUUUAGUUUAUGAUUUGAACAUAUGUUGUAUUGUAAAUUACCUUUAUUUAGGUUGUUACAAAAUUUAAUUAUCAUAGAUGUGCGAUAUUUAGACAAACUAUUUUUAAUCUCACAAUCUUGCAUUAUGAUAUAUUUAACUUGUGAUCAAUAAUUUACCUGCAAAUUACCUUAUUACCUUUAAAACCUGUUUGUUUGGUGGAACACUCAGUGUUUGUAUGCAUUGAUUAUUCUGCUUUAUGAGAUGAUAAUUCUGUUUCUCGAUUCUUUUAAAUACUCAAUUGUCUGCUCCUGAUGAUUGGGCGAAAUGUAUGUUCUGCAUUAAAUUAGAGAAAAUGCAUGUGAUAAUCUGAAGGAGUUUUGAGAUUUAUACAAACACUAAUUGUGAUACAUGUAUGUCUGAUUGUUAUGCAUGUGUUGAUGAAAGAAAGUCUCCAACAUUGACGUCACUUAUAGAUAAAGAAAUGGGAGAGAGGAUACUAAGAAAGAAAUGGUGAUCAAUCUAAUUACGAUCACUUGAAUUUGCUGGUUCCAGAAUAUAUAUACCAGUUUUAAAUUUUAAUAUUCUGUAAAGAGAGAAUUGUAAUUAUAUUAUGUAGGUCGAGACAAAACGUUCUUCUCAUGAUAGAAGAGUUUAACUUGUUAUAAAUUCAAGAUGAAUUGUUGUACUCAUUGUAUUAAUUCACAAUGUAUGUUAUAGAAUGAUAUCAAUAGUGCCAUUUAUGUGGGUUGUAACAAGGAUUUAGGUGGUGUUAUUACCUGUGUGAAAUACAUGCACAACUUAGUUUUAUAUUAUAACCUAUAGGUAAGCACAAUAGAAUAUUGGUCCAUUGUGGGUUUGUAGUUACGGAUGCUGGACUUGUUACAUCAUCAAUAAAAACAAAACAAUAUACAUGUA
This 2069-nucleotide long non-coding RNA is filed under the name Mizuhopecten yessoensis (Yesso scallop). RNAcentral's name for it is "uncharacterized LOC110443174". The record is from RNAcentral. Lineage: Eukaryota; Metazoa; Mollusca; Bivalvia; Pectinida; Pectinidae.